RNAcentral lists this transfer RNA (682 nucleotides) under uncultured cyanobacterium. RNAcentral's name for it is "partial contains 16S-23S ribosomal RNA intergenic spacer and 23S ribosomal RNA". The stretch from base 100 to 172 matches the Rfam family "tRNA". Lineage: Bacteria; Bacillati; Cyanobacteriota. The record is from RNAcentral.
AAGGGAUGAGACUCCUGGGCCAUUAGCUCAGGUGGUUAGAGCGCACCCCUGAUAAGGGUGAGGUCCCUGGUUCAAGUCCAGGAUGGCCCAUUCGGUGUUGGGGGUUUAGCUCAGUUGGUAGAGCGCCUGCUUUGCAAGCAGGAUGUCAGGAGUUCGAGUCUCCUAACCUCCACUGACCGAACUUUGUCCCCAUCUCCAGAAUAUGGAGUUGAGCUCGAUUGGAGUGUGAUUUAGAUUUGUCCGCUGGAUGAUCCCAGCUUCCUGUCAUUCCGAUGAAUACAGUCAAGUAAUUGAUUGAAUGAAUUGGUUGAUAAGAUGCUGGGCUCAAAUCAAAUGAUCAAGCAAUUGAUGAUUUGAUUUGAAGUUCUAGCAGAACCUUGACAACUGUAUAGGUGAAGUCUGGAAAAACAAAGCAUCUUACAGAUGCAUUGUUUUGAGUCUGAUCUUCUGAAAGGGAGAUUAGAACCAGAGCAAUGAAAAUUCUUUUGAGCAAGAGCCGAGACUCUUGAGCGUUCUUUGAUUCGUGUCGAGCGAAUCAGAGUUUGAUCUUGUUUUAGGAAUCAACGAAAGUUGAUGAUUAAACCUUGAGAAUCUGCUUUCAACGGCGGUAAGCGUUCAGGAGGUUAAUUGGUCAAGCUACAAAGGGCUCACGGCGGAUACCUUGGCACACAGAGGCGAUGAA